GCGCAGCAGGCGAGAAACCUUCGCAAAUGCAGGAAACUGCGACGAGGGAACUCCAAGUGCCUACGCUCAGCGUAGGCUGUUCUCAAGCCUAGAAAGCUUGAGGAGUAAGGGCUGGGGUAAGACGGGUGCCAUCUGUGGUAGCAGUCAAUAGAUUCGAUUUGUUACUGCAAGGCAUAAGCCGCCGCGGUAAUACCCGCAGCCCAAGUGGUGGCCGCUUUUAUUGGGCCUAAAGCGUCCGUAGCCGGCCCGGUAAAUGCCUGGGUAAAUCGUGGAGCCC
RNAcentral lists this ribosomal RNA (277 nucleotides) under uncultured microorganism. Its description in RNAcentral is "partial 16S ribosomal RNA". It matches the Rfam family "Archaeal small subunit ribosomal RNA", at positions 330 to 560 of the family's 1478-position model. The record is from RNAcentral.